CAAUAGCGUAUAUUUAAGUUGCUGCAGUUAAAAAGCUCGUAGUUGGAUUUCGGGUGGGAAUGGCCGGUCCGCCGUUUCGGUGUGCACUUGCUACGCCCACCUUGCUGCCGGGGACGUGCUCUUGAGUUCACGCUCGGGACACGGAGUCGGCGAGGUUACUUUGAGUAGAUUAGAGUGUUCAAAGCAGGCCUACGCUCUGAAUACAUUAGCAUGGAAUAACACGAUAGGACUCUGGCCUAUCUUGUUGGUCUGUAGGACCGGAGUAAUGAUUAAGAGGGACAGCCGGGGGCAUUCGUAUUUCAUUGUCAGAGGUGAAAUUCUUGGAUUUAUGAAAGACGAACUACUGCGAAAGCAUUUGCCAAGGAUGUUUUCAUUAA
Molecule: ribosomal RNA, 377 nt
Filed under: uncultured eukaryote
Lineage: Eukaryota
Description: partial 18S ribosomal RNA
Rfam family: Eukaryotic small subunit ribosomal RNA
Source: RNAcentral